Long non-coding RNA from Heterocephalus glaber (naked mole-rat), 2338 nucleotides. RefSeq lists it as uncharacterized. Lineage: Eukaryota; Metazoa; Chordata; Mammalia; Rodentia; Bathyergidae. The record is from RefSeq and is a predicted model, not a curated record.
UAUCUGCUGUGAGAAUGAUGGCUUAACUAGGAAGUUUGGUCUGGAAGUCGAGGAAAAAAAAUUUGCCUGUGCCUUCUAGUGACUGCAGUGGUAGAUCUUUGCUAAUUCUGCAUGGUGCAGUGACUGACAGGCCAGAGAAGAAGGAGCAGGUGAGCUACUAAAGGAGCCCUGGCUGCAGGCUCAUCCAAGGGGCUUAUUUUCCAGAGGAAGACAUGUGAGUGGGACUUCUUCCUUACUUUCCCAUACUGCAGGAUUGUCACCUCCUUUCACCUCUCUUCUGAUUGAGAAUGCAGAGGAUGCCUGGAUUGAAUUACAGGGCUGGAGGACAUGGGCUACACACUGUCCCUGCAUAUUGGCUGAGGAUGCUGUAUGGAGCAGCACACCUCCACUACCUUCACCACAGGUGAGAAAAUGAUCUUGACUCUUAGUGGCAGAACUGAGAUUCGAAUGUAAGUCUCCUGAUUCCUGGUUUCAUGCUCUUUCCACUGCAUAAUCCACCUCCCUUGAUGCUGAGUACCUGUUCCAGGAAUACAGCCCUUCACAACUCCCCACAGGACCAGGGAGUAGCCUGCAUUCUGCAUAAUCGUCUGCAUGACAUUCAGUAUCAGACAUCCUGAAAUCUGCCUUUUCAUUUGGAGACUCUAUCAAAUGGACCUUUUGGUGGGGGGAUAAAUCAAUUAGGAGAAACAUCAGAACCUAAACUUUUCCUUGGAAACUUUUAUAUAAAUUUGCUAUUUAAAAAAUUAUUUAGAUUUGUGUCUCAACUAUUUGAUGUUGACAAACAGUAGAUGUUUUCUAAUAUUUAUCUAACAAGAACUAUUGAGUGCUUACCAUAUGCAGAGUACAAUGUGUCUGGUGCUGAUGUAAAUGGAAAAAUGUAUUUAAGACCACAAUCUCUGUUCUACACAAGCUUAAAUUCCGAGGUGAUGGCCAUGGGCAACAUUCUCCCUUUUCCUCUUCUUCUCCUUCCAUGGAGGAGUUGAACUAGCAUCUAUUCAGUGGUUUAGGUUCUAGGAAGGUCCAGAAUAAAGAUACUCUCAUUAAUGUGGGCAGUUUUCCUCCCAGGUGGCCAGGAAAUCAUCUCUGGUGAUGAAGCUUCUCUUAUAAUGGGGCCAGGCCUCUGGCAAAGGAGGAAGAUCUAAUGCUUUCAGCAUAACCUCAGAGGGGAGUGGUAGCUAUGGUGAUUGUCUUCUGUUUGCUAAAGGCUUGGAACAAAAGCUGAGAAAAACAAAUAUCUGUCUUGUUGAGAGGUGAUUACUUCACAAGUAACCUAGUAAGGGGAUCAGCCAGUCCUCAGUUCUCAUAAGGGGACCUACAUUCCUUUUGCUGGUAGACUAUACUUUGUCACUCUCUCUCCAGGCUGGCAAUGGGGGUGAUGGCUCAUGUGUCUUCUGCCAAGGCUUAAGGUAUGUUUGCUAUAAUUGGCAAGAUCCAAGAAAGAAUCAUGCAUGAUCUCCUCCAAUGGGGAGGGAUGGAGAGUGGGUGGGGUUGCUGCCUGGAAGGCUUAAAGCAACGGCCACAGUUUGCAGGCAGAAGGGUCAUCAACAGAGAAUACUGUUGCAGAAGCUGGUCUGAUAGAGGCUGCCUAAAUUAGCAGCAAUGUCAACACUCGUGAUAUACUUGGCCCAAUGGUAAAGAACUCUGAGCACUGAUCUGGCAAAAGCAGAUGGUCAGAGGUAGCCCAAAGACAGAGGGACCUGGCUGAUCCCCCUUUCUAGGCAUGAAGGGAAGAAUCUGGAACACCUGUGGUUACUCGUAGAAACAGGGAGCCCCAUAGCUGGAAGGCACAGAAGAAAACCCUCAGCUCCAGAAAGAGAAAGUCAAAACUUGCUUGGGUAGCACAAGUCGCUCCUAAAGAUGGAAAAUGCAGGCACCCUGCAACGCCUGAGACACAUUUUCUUUUUGCUUUUUUACAUAGCUUUCUUAAUUUUUCAUUUUUAAAUUUCUCAUUCUCUUUCCUACUCUUCUUUCUUUCUUCCCUUCUUUCCUUUCCCUCCUUUCUUUCCUUUUUCUUCCUUCUUCAGUCUUUCUUUGCUUCUUUCUCUCAGAACUUCCAUUCGUCAGGGCUUAUACCACUUCCUGGGUCUGUGCUGUUAUUUUAGGUUCUAUGGUAUCAGAUUAGGGGCCUAAGAGCCUCUACUCUUUAUGUGAUUAUAGCCUAACAGGAGCCAUGACAUGCCAAUAUGCAUUCUCCUCUUUUCUCUUUGUGGUAGACACAUAAUAUUAUUUGGGGCCAUAUUGCUUCCAAUUAAAAGACAACCUUUUUCACAGAACUACUAUAGACAAAAUGGCCAUACUUGCAAAAAUGAUAUAUGGAUUUAAUGCAAUCCCAAUCAAA